ACGGCUCAGUAACACGUGGACAACCUACCCUUAGGUCGGGGAUAAACCCGGGAAACUGGGUAUAAUACCCGAUAGUCCUCGGAUGCUGGAAUGCACCGAGGUCUAAAGCUCCGGCGCCUAAGGAUGGGUCUGCGGCCUAUCAGGUAGUAGUGGGUGUAGCGUACCUACUAGCCUACGACGGGUACGGGUUGUGAGAGCAAGAGCCCGGAGAUGGAUUCUGAGACACGAAUCCAGGCCCUACGGGGUGCAGCAGGCGCGAAAACUUUACAAUGCUGGAAACAGCGAUAAGGGAACCUCGAGUGCCAGGUUACAAAUCUGGCUGUCGUGAUGCCUAAAAAGCAUUGCAUAGCAAGGGCCGGGCAAGACCGGUGCCAGCCGCCGCGGUAACACCGGCGGCUCGAGUGGUAACCGCUGUUAUUGGGUCUAAAGGGUCUGUAGCCGGCCGGAUAAGUCUUUUGGGAAAUCUGGCAGCUUAACUGUCAGGCUUUCAGAGGAUACUGUCUGGCUCGAGGCCGGGAGAGGUGAGAGGUACUUCAGGGGUAGGGGUGAAAUCUUGUAAUCCUUGAAGGACCACCAGUGGCGAAGGCGUCUCACCAGAACGGACCUGACGGCAAGGGACGAAAGCUAGGGGCACGAACCGGAUUAGAUACCCGGGUAGUCCUAGCCGUAAACGAUACUCGCUAGGUGUCGGCCACGGUGCGACCGUUGUCGGUGCCGUAGGGAAGCCGUGAAGCGAGCCACCUGGGAAGUACGGCCGCAAGGCUGAAAUUUAAAGGAAUUGGCGGGGGAGCAC
This 793-nucleotide ribosomal RNA is filed under the name uncultured archaeon. RNAcentral's name for it is "bacterial SSU rRNA". It matches the Rfam family "Archaeal small subunit ribosomal RNA", at positions 85 to 879 of the family's 1478-position model. The record is from RNAcentral.